UGGAGCUGAGCAGUGAUGUGGUCACCAGCCUCGAUGUGGCCGUGGAGGGGCUUAACGGGCAGCUGCCCAACCUUGACCUGCUCAAUCUCUUCCAGACCUUCUGCCAGAAAGGGGGCCUGUUGUGCACGCUUCAGGGCAAGCUGCAGCCCCAGGACUGGACAUCAUUGGAUGGACCGCUGCAGGGCCUGCAGACACUGCUGCUCAUGGUUCUGCGGCAGGCCUCCGGCCGCCCCCACGGCUCCCAUGGCCUCUUCCUGCGCUACCGUGUGGAGGCCCUAACCCUGCGUGGCAUCAAUAGCUUCCGCCAGUACAAGUAUGACCUGGUGGCAGUGGGCAAGGCUUUGGAGGGCAUGUUCCGCAAGCUCAACCACCUCCUGGAGCGCCUGCACCAGUCCUUCUUCCUCUACUUGCUCCCCGGCCUCUCCCGCUUCGUCUCCAUCGGCCUCUACAUGCCCGCUGUCGGCUUCUUGCUCCUGGUCCUUGGUCUCAAGAUAUCCUCUGCCCCUUGCCAUCUACCUGUGACCAGCCUCCAGUCUCCUCAACUCUAGGCUGGGGAGAGUCUUCCAUCCUGAUGGGGGGUGGGGUACGGGGGUGAGCCCUGGGUCCCCCUCUGGGCAGAUCCCGUUACACCUCUUGUUGGGGUCCUUGAUUGGGCUACGCUCUGGAACUGUGGAUGCAGCUGCAUGAGGCCGGAAUGGGCCUUGAGGAGCCCGGGGGUGCCCCUGGCCCCAGUGUACCCCUUCCCCCAUCACAGGUGAUGGCACCCCCUUCUGUUGUUGGAAUGGGCUUCUGGGGUCUGACUGGUGUUUAGUGUUGCAACUUAGCCUCAGCUGGUGGGAUGGUGGUGGUCUUUGGGGAUCCCCUGGCCCCAGGGUCCAUCUCCAAGAGUCUGUGUGCCCUGCAGGGUGUGGGGCUGGCCUCGCUCGUGGCACCUCUGCUGAUCUCGCAGGCCAUGGGACUGGCCCUCUAUGUCCUGCCAGUGCUGGGCCAACACGUUGCCACCCAGCACUUCCCAGUGGCAGAGGCUGAGGCUGUGGUGCUGACACUGCUGGCGAUUUAUGCAGCUGGCCUGGCCCUGCCCCACAAUACCCACCGGGUGAUAAGCACACAGGCCCCAGACAGGGGCUGGAUGGCACUGAAGCUGGUAGCCCUGAUCUACCUAGCACUGCAGCUGGGCUGCAUCGCCCUCACCAACUUCUCACUGGGCUUCCUGCUGGCCACCACCAUGGUGCCCACUGCUGCGCUUGCCAAGCCUCAUGGGCCCCAGACCCUCUAUGCUGCCCUGCUGGUGCUGACCAGCCCGGCAGCCACGCUCCUUGGCAGCCUGUUCCUGUGGCGGGAGCUGCAGGAGGCGCCACUGUCACUGGCCGAGGGCUGGCAGCUCUUCCUGGCAGCGCUGGCCCAGGGUGUGCUGGAGCACCACACCUACGGUGCCCUGCUCUUCCCACUGCUGUCCCUGGGCCUCUACCCCUGCUGGCUGCUUUUCUGGAAUGUGCUCUUCUGGAAGUGAGAUCUGCCUGUCCGGGCUGGGACAGAGACUCCCCAAGGACCCCAUUCUGCCUCCUUCUGG
RNAcentral lists this small RNA (1570 nucleotides) under Pan troglodytes (chimpanzee). RNAcentral's name for it is "retained intron". The record is from RNAcentral. Lineage: Eukaryota; Metazoa; Chordata; Mammalia; Primates; Hominidae.